CCUCUCUCCCCUCUCUCUCUUCCCUUCUCUCUCCCCUCUCUGCACGCACUAUGCAGAGCGUGAAGAAAAAACCUAGAUCUCUCUCCGAUCGGCGACGAAACCGAUCACUUCCCUUUGUCGUUUCGCGACAGCUUCAAGGUUCUUCUUCAAGCUGAGGACCGGAUCCGGGGGCGGCAGAGUCCGGACCCGGGAGGCGCUGGGCUCGGAUAUCGUGCGGAGGCCGAUUGUGUGGCCGGCGAAGGAUUUGGUUGGGGAUUCGGUGGAGGACGAGGCGUCCGGAGGAGUGGAGAAGGCUGAUUUGAGCGGCAGAGGAAGCGAAGACAGUGAAGAGGAAGUGCAGGAAGAGGAGGAGGAGGAGUGGGUUGAUCGGGAGGAUAAGAUAUUGGAGGACACGGUGCCUCUAGUUGGCUUUGUGAGGAUGAUUCUGCACUCUGGAAGGUUCAGUGCUCCCAUUUUGUAUUAUGAUUAAUGAGCACUGUCCUUGACUUCUCAUUAGUGGUAAGUGAUUUUUCAACAAUUUCUCUCUCUGUAUAAUGAGAAUUGUCUCUCACGCUUUGAAUUGAUCAA
Syzygium oleosum is the source of this 567-nucleotide long non-coding RNA. RefSeq lists it as uncharacterized. The record is from RefSeq and is a predicted model, not a curated record. NCBI's taxonomy places the organism in Eukaryota, Viridiplantae, Streptophyta, Magnoliopsida, Myrtales, Myrtaceae. The transcript is spliced from 2 exons.